GUCGAGAAUAAUUCACAAUGGACGAAAGUCUGAUGGUGCAACGCCGCGUGGAGGAUGACGGUCUUCGGAUUGUAAACUCCUGUCAUCCGGGAGUAAGACCUGGCUGUGAAUAGCAGACAGGGUUGAUAGUACCGGAAGAGGAAGGGACGGCUAACUUCGUGCCAGCAGCCGCGGUAAUACGAAGGUCCCGAGCGUUGUUCGGAAUCACUGGGCGUAAAGGGAGCGUAGGCGGCGUGGUAAGUCAGAUGUGAAAUCCCGGGGCUCAACGCCGGAACGGCAUGCGAUACUGCCGUGCUAGAGGAAUGGAGAGGGAGCUGGAAUUCUUGGUGUAGCAGUGAAAUGCGUGGAGAUCAAGAGGAACACUCGUGGCGAAAGCGAGCUACUGGACAAUAUCUGACGCUGAGGCUCGAAGGCCAGGGUAGCGAAAGGGAUUAGAAACCCCUGUAGUCC
Molecule: ribosomal RNA, 450 nt
Filed under: uncultured bacterium
Lineage: Bacteria
Description: partial 16S ribosomal RNA
Rfam family: Bacterial small subunit ribosomal RNA
Source: RNAcentral